This 466-nucleotide ribosomal RNA is filed under the name uncultured bacterium. RNAcentral's name for it is "partial 16S ribosomal RNA". It matches the Rfam family "Bacterial small subunit ribosomal RNA", at positions 28 to 507 of the family's 1533-position model. The record is from RNAcentral.
GACGAACGCUGGCGGCGUGCUUAACACAUGCAAGUCGAACGGAAAGGCCCUGCUUUUGUGGGGUGCUCGAGUGGCGAACGGGUGAGUAACACGUGAGUAACCUGCCCUUGACUUUGGGAUAACUUCAGGAAACUGGGGCUAAUACCGGAUAGGAGCUCCUGCUGCAUGGUGGGGGUUGGAAAGUUUCGGCGGUUGGGGAUGGACUCGCGGCUUAUCAGCUUGUUGGUGGGGUAGUGGCUUACCAAGGCUUUGACGGGUAGCCGGCCUGAGAGGGUGACCGGCCACAUUGGGACUGAGAGACGGCAGACUCCUACGGGAGGCAGCAGUGGGGAAUAUUGCACAAUGGGCGGAAGCCUGAUGCAGCAACGCCGCGUGCGGGAUGACGGCCUUCGGGUUGUAAACCGCUUUCGCCUGUGACGAAGCGUGAGUGACGGUAAUGGGUAAAGAAGCACCGGCUAACUACGUG